UGGGGAAUUUUGGACAAUGGGCGAAAGCCUGAUCCAGCAAUGCCGCGUGCAGGAAGAAGGCCUUCGGGUUGUAAACUGCUUUUGUCAGGGAAGAAAUCUUCUGGGCUAAUACCCCGGGAGGAUGACGGUACCUGAAGAAUAAGCACCGGCUAACUACGUGCCAGCAGCCGCGGUAAUACGUAGGGUGCGAGCGUUAAUCGGAAUUACUGGGCGUAAAGCGUGCGCAGGCGGCUUUGCAAGACAGAUGUGAAAUCCCCGGGCUCAACCUGGGAACUGCAUUUGUGACUGCAAGGCUAGAGUACGGCAGAGGGGGAUGGAAUUCCGCGUGUAGCAGUGAAAUGCGUAGAUAUGCGGAGGAACACCAAUGGCGAAGGCAAUCCCCUGGGCCUGUACUGACGCUCAUGCACGAAAGCGUGGGGAGCAAACA
Molecule: ribosomal RNA, 427 nt
Filed under: uncultured prokaryote
Description: bacterial SSU rRNA
Rfam family: Bacterial small subunit ribosomal RNA
Source: RNAcentral